RNAcentral lists this non-coding RNA (19 nucleotides) under Arabidopsis thaliana (thale cress). The record is from RNAcentral. Lineage: Eukaryota; Viridiplantae; Streptophyta; Magnoliopsida; Brassicales; Brassicaceae.
CGGAGAGGUCGAGUGAUGG